RNAcentral lists this ribosomal RNA (253 nucleotides) under uncultured bacterium. RNAcentral's name for it is "partial 16S ribosomal RNA". It matches the Rfam family "Bacterial small subunit ribosomal RNA", at positions 524 to 776 of the family's 1533-position model. The record is from RNAcentral.
UACGUAGGGUCCGAGCGUUGUCCGGAAUUAUUGGGCGUAAAGGGCUCGUAGGCGGUUUGUCGCGUCGGGAGUGAAAACUCAGGGCUCAACCCUGAGCGUGCUUCCGAUACGGGCAGACUAGAGGUAUUCAGGGGAGAACGGAAUUCCUGGUGUAGCGGUGGAAUGCGCAGAUAUCAGGAGGAACACCGGUGGCGAAGGCGGUUCUCUGGGCCUGUACUGACGCUGAGGAGCGAAAGCGUGGGGAGCGAACAGG